This 465-nucleotide ribosomal RNA is filed under the name Vreelandella stevensii. RNAcentral's name for it is "partial 16S ribosomal RNA". It matches the Rfam family "Bacterial small subunit ribosomal RNA", at positions 338 to 795 of the family's 1533-position model. Lineage: Bacteria; Pseudomonadati; Pseudomonadota; Gammaproteobacteria; Oceanospirillales; Halomonadaceae. The record is from RNAcentral.
UCUACGGGUGGCUGCAGUGGGGAAUAUUGGACAAUGGGGGCAACCCUGAUCCAGCCAUGCCGCGUGUGUGAAGAAGGCCCUCGGGUUGUAAAGCACUUUCAGUGAGGAAGAACGCCUGGUGGUUAAUACCCAUCAGGAAAGACAUCACUCACAGAAGAAGCACCGGCUAACUCCGUGCCAGCAGCCGCGGUAAUACGGAGGGUGCGAGCGUUAAUCGGAAUUACUGGGCGUAAAGCGCGCGUAGGUGGCUUGAUAAGCCGGUUGUGAAAGCCCCGGGCUCAACCUGGGAACGGCAUCCGGAACUGUCAAGCUAGAGUGCAGGAGAGGAAGGUAGAAUUCCCGGUGUAGCGGUGAAAUGCGUAGAGAUCGGGAGGAAUACCAGUGGCGAAGGCGGCCUUCUGGACUGACACUGACACUGAGGUGCGAAAGCGUGGGUAGCAAACAGGAUUAGAUACCCUGGUAGUC